UAUAAAGUCUGGGCCUGCCCACUGACUCAAGUUAAAGGGCCGCGGUAUUUUGACCGUGCGAAGGUAGCAUAAUCAUUAGUCUCUUAAUUGGGGGCUUGUAUGAAUGGUUGGACAAAAAAUAAGCUGUCUCGGUUAUAUAAAUUGAACUUAACUUUUGAGUGAAAAGGCUCAAAUAUCUUAGGGGGACGAUAAGACCCUAUAAAGCUUUACAAUUAUUUAAUUAAAUUGCAAAUUGUUUAUUUAACGUAGUUUAAUUGAUGUUUGUUUCGUUGGGGCGACGAGAAUAUAAUUGGUAACUGUUCUUUACUAAAAACAAUAAUUUUUGAUAUUGUGAUCCUCUAUUAGAGAUUAAAAGAUUAAGUUACUUUAGGGAUAACAGCGUAAUCUUCUUUGAAAGUUCAUAUCGACAAGAAGGGUUGCGACCUCGAUGUUGAAUUAAGGUUUCUUUGUGGUGCAGCGGUCACAAUAAGAGGGU
RNAcentral lists this ribosomal RNA (475 nucleotides) under Kishinouyepenaeopsis incisa. RNAcentral describes it as "partial large subunit ribosomal RNA". It matches the Rfam family "Bacterial large subunit ribosomal RNA", at positions 1844 to 2576 of the family's 2925-position model. Lineage: Eukaryota; Metazoa; Arthropoda; Malacostraca; Decapoda; Penaeidae. The record is from RNAcentral.